Long non-coding RNA from Macadamia integrifolia, 1012 nucleotides. RefSeq lists it as uncharacterized. The record is from RefSeq and is a predicted model, not a curated record. Lineage: Eukaryota; Viridiplantae; Streptophyta; Magnoliopsida; Proteales; Proteaceae. The transcript is spliced from 2 exons.
GAUAAGUAUGCUAGCGGGUCACCUAGGAAUAAAGUAUGCUAGCAAGGUUUUAACCGUAGAAUUUAGUUAUCCUAAACAAAACCCUUGGAUGAAAGGGAAAAAAUCUAAACCUUCCCUCCACCCUGCUACACAUUUUCUCUACCCCUGCAACCAUUCUGAGUUGCCAUAGUCUGGUUUCUCACUCAUGCCUUUUCUCCCCGCAGCCCUUUAUCUCGAUCACUACCCCAUUGUUUCUCUCUCUCUCUCUCUCUCUCUCUCUCGUCUCUUUUUCUCUUAAUCACAUUUUCUUCAUCUCUCUUCUUCAACGAAGAGCAAAGUCAUUGAUCGGAAAUAUGGAAAUCUUUAGAUCACAUCGGAGAAUUUCUAGAAUUUGAGAUCUGAUUAAGGGAGAGUUGUUCACAAUAGAUUGGUUGGGGUUUUGUGGGGCUCUAUCUUCUUUAUUUGCAUAUGAUUUUUUUUAGAGAUCUGGUUUUGAAGGGAUCGACGUCUGGUUUGGUGUCUUCGCUGUGAAAAUGUCGAUGCUAUCACCUAAAUGCUAUUCAAAUUAGGGAGGUUUAGAAUGAUAAUCUUGAAGCUGAAUUUUCUCUGAUUUGGGAGAUUGUUGACGGUUUCCCUUACGUCACUAUGGAUAUGGAGUUUCCAGGGAUUGUUCUUCUUCCUUUCGGGAAUUUUAAAACUAGUUCUGAUUAUCAUUAUCAGACCUGGAUUGGGAUAGGGCUGGCAGGCUAGUAGGGAAGCUGCGAUUGAGCAACCGUUUGUAGCUCAACCCGCCUACUCAAGGAUCAGAAAGCUAGAAUUUUGGAAGCAAAUAUUAUCUUUUAGUUUAUUAUUGUUCCCAAUGCACUAGCUUGUAUUAUAUGUGCAGGAUGGAGCUUUCAAGAUCAUGCUUUGAUGGAAUAGUGUCAUGUUAAUGGAGUUUUCAACGGCAAUACUGUAUUUAAAUUACAAAAACUUGAGCCAACCUUGUAUCUUGAAUUUAUCACAUUUUAUUUGAUUCUCUAUACCUCUCCAA